AGUCUCUUGUAUUUAUAUAAUUCUGCUGGUCUCUUUCCACAUCUGAAUUUUAAAUAUCUGUUAUAAGGCAGUGCUGCUUUAGUGGUGAGCCAAGUUUUUCUUCUAAAACACAUGUUCCCUAAAGCCUUCAUCCUUUACUGCCUUUGUUCUGAUUUAAAGCUACCAAACCCAAUAAAGCAGUCUUCUCCUCCCUCUGCCCAGCCCACAUGCAUCAGGAUUAACACCCUGAUUAAUUUAUAUCAAGUGAUUCAACAGUGAAUUAACUUCUCUCUAAUUUCUACCUGCCUUCAUGUAAAUGUGCUGAUGAAGAUGAUGCUGAUAAUGUGAGGAUAUGAUAAACCCAGAAAAAGCUACUGUGGAGAACUGAAAAAAUGGGGUAGACAUUAAAUCCAGAGAAUGGUAGUGAGAUUAAAAAAUAAAAAUUGUUGACUGCCUUUUCUAAAUAGGCAUUUUGUGGAUACAAUUUUUAUGUGCCUCUUAUCAAUACCUAAAAUGGCCUUAUCAACAGCUAAAAUGGCCUAGAGAGGCAAAAACUCUAUCCCACAAAAUAAAGGUCGCUUUUUGCUAUCUCAGGGGAAGCAUCAACACCCGAGGCAUGCAAUUGCUAGUGAAAAAAAUAAAAGAAAGAAACCAAACCAACUGUGGAAAACUAAAAUAAAAAGAGUUGUGAAGCUUGUAUGGCUCUAUGAGAUAGAAAAGUUCUUAUUGAAGAUUUUGUUUGGGAUGCUCUUGAUGGGAAACUUGUUGUCAUAUUCAGGCCUGUUAACUGUAUUAGUUAACAAAGGAGAGCAUUCAAAAGCCUCCUCAGAGGCAUAUUUGUCUUCUUUUUCUUUCUCCUUUUUAUUUUCAUUUUCUUUUCCUCCUUUCUAAAUGGAAACCAGCUUUCCCAGAAGAAUGUUUUACAGAAUCUGCUUCCUUGAGACCAGAAUGAGGCAACAGCUGUGCUUGCAGCAAGUUGCAACAUCUCCUUGCUGGAUGGAGGCACAUCUUGUCACAAGUGGUGCUGGUAGCAAAAGCUCAGUGAAAGAACCUGCCUGCCUGGGGGCUGUUCACUCCUCUGAGGACCCCAUCUGCAGUGCUACAACCAGAUGUGCCUUUGGAUGAAAUCAAAUUCAAGAUCUGCUCAGCUGAAAACUAGAUGAGUGAGGAACACUCACGUUCACACAGCACGAAGCUGUAGGCCUCAACAGGAAGCU
Taeniopygia guttata (zebra finch) is the source of this 1196-nucleotide non-coding RNA. The record is from RefSeq and is a predicted model, not a curated record. Lineage: Eukaryota; Metazoa; Chordata; Aves; Passeriformes; Estrildidae.